AUUGAACGCUGGCGGCAGGCCUAACACAUGCAAGUCGGACGGUAGCACAGAGGAGCUUGCUCCUCGGGUGACGAGUGGCGGACGGGUGAGUAAUGUCUGGGGAUCUGCCCGAUAGAGGGGGAUAACCACUGGAAACGGUGGCUAAUACCGCAUAACGUCGCAAGACCAAAGAGGGGGACCUUCGGGCCUCUCACUAUCGGAUGAACCCAGAUGGGAUUAGCUAGUAGGCGGGGUAAUGGCCCACCUAGGCGACGAUCCCUAGCUGGUCUGAGAGGAGGACCGGCCACACUAGAACUGGGACACGGGCCAGACUCCGACGGGAGGCAGCAGUGGGGAAUAUAGCACGAUGGGCGCAAGCCUGAUGCGGCCAUGCCGCGUGUAUGAAGAAGGCCUUCGGGUUGUAAAGUACUUUCAGCGGGGAGGAAGGCGAUGUGGUUAAUAACCUUGUCGAUUGACGUUACCCGCAGAAGAAGCACCGGCUAACUCCGUGCCAGCAGCCGCAGUAA
Molecule: ribosomal RNA, 506 nt
Filed under: uncultured bacterium
Lineage: Bacteria
Description: partial 16S ribosomal RNA
Rfam family: Bacterial small subunit ribosomal RNA
Source: RNAcentral